Non-coding RNA from Pelodiscus sinensis (Chinese soft-shelled turtle), 888 nucleotides. NCBI's taxonomy places the organism in Eukaryota, Metazoa, Chordata, Testudines, Trionychidae. The record is from RefSeq and is a predicted model, not a curated record.
CAGCCUUGCACUGGUGCGCAGGGUCCCGGUGUCCCGCCUGUGCCCGUGCCACCGAUGGCGUGUGGGGCAGAUAGAGGCUGCUCAUCUUCCCGGCUCUUGUCUCCAGCACGGAGUUUGUGCAGAAGGAAGAGAUUGGGAGGACCACCAAGGACUGCUGGGAUAGCCCCGAUGCACCUGCACUCUCGACUUGCAGCAAUGCUGAUAUCUUCCGCAGAAUAAAUGCCAUGUUGGAUAACUCUCUGGAUUUCAGUGGAGUCUGCACCACGCCCAUCACAAAAGGAAGAAGUGACCUUUUGCCAGACUUCCAGGACUCUGAAGGAACAGUGGCAAGCAGGAUGCUUUUCCCCACCUCUGCGCAAGAGUCUCCCCGUGGCCUGCCGGACACGAACGACCUAUGCCUGGGCCUGCAGUCUCUCAACCUGACUGGGUGGGACAGACCGUGGAGCACCCAGGACUCGGAUACUGCAGCGCAGACCAGCACGCAGUCCGGUGAGUUGCUCUCUGCUGACACGCAGCAACAGUUGUUGAUGAUUUGCUUUUGUGAAAAGUGAAGCUGCUGUUGCCCAGAAAAGUGUAAGUACUGGCUGAGGGAUUGCCCUUGGCCUUGUAAAUGCUGAGUGUAAUGGAGGGAGAGGUCGGGGGACAGAAUGAGGGGGGAUUGGUGAGUACUCCAGUCUUGGCUGCCGAAGUGAAGAAUAACUUCCAAAUACUCAGGCUUCUCCUGCAGUGUCUGGGGAGAGAUGAAUGUGCAGAUGAGCAAGAGGAUUGAUUAGUCUGCUGGUACCUUCCUAGCAAGUAGGUUAGGGUAUAUUUAGAGACUGAACUAAACACCUAGCCCGAGCCCCACUGCAGUGUGGUAGUGGAGUUAAACUCCGUUCCAGACAAAUA